UUUCGAUAGUGAGGGGACGCAAUCAGUCGUUGUUGUAGAAUAUAAUUAUCAUCUAAUGUCUAAUUUCUGUGUAUGAUUCAAUAAUUGGUCGAAUUAAGGAAAAAAAGUGUGGGUAUGUUGAUGUCCUCUCAUUGUAUUUAGUAUUUACAAUCAUGGUUACGUAGUGUGCCUGUGACUGCCGGGGAUAUUCUGCACACUCAAUGCAUAAAUCAUUAACAAGAAAGAAAAAAUAUCAACAAAUGACAGCCGUGAUAAUGUACAUAAUUAGAGAACAAGUCCUUAUAAAAUGCUGUUCUCAUGAAUGAGUAAUGGAAAUUACCAAUGUGAUAAGUGAUGAAGUGGGAAGGAGAAGAACAGGAAACACAUUUGGUAACAAGGCGUCCGAUACAUCUUAAAAACACAUAUUUUUUCGAAAUACAUCCCUCACUGUGAAAGGAAAGUGAGACCAACACUCGAAAAUACCAGUGCUAUACAUGAUUCAUGAAUUGGGCAGUACAAUAUCGAUGUGCAAACUAGUAAUGGGCACGAGAAGGAAAGCUGUAGAUGCCACAAGUGGUAUUUUCCACCUAUCCAUAAAAAGGAUCUUUUCGAAAUGAACUCCACAAUGGUAAGGAGGAACAGUAAUAUGUGAUAUCAUACAAAAAAAACGAUGAUGUACUAGCCAGAAGAACAGUGAUACGCAGGGAAACAAUGGGAUGAGAGUAGAAAAGCAGUAGGUGGCAUCUGGUACCCAAUUCAUCCCACCUCGCCGCGUGAGUGGUGCUCGGAGUAGCGGCCGUGUCGUGCACCUUGGUACCUGCUUGCCAGGUGCCAGACUGCCAGCUGACAUUCCUCCUUCAACCACCGUCCCGUGAGCACUGGUGCACCGCCCAUCUUCUCCUCCCGGCAUCCGACUCUUACAUUCCCUUGGACCGUGGUGGUGGUGAGGUUCUGGUAACACGCACUCGCGCAAAAGGAAAGACAGAAAGACAAAAAAGAAAAAUUUGGAUCAUGAGACAAUAGGAGGAACGGUAAGAAGAAAAAAAGAAAAGAAAACAAACAAGUAGAUCGACCUAUCAAUGUGAAGCAGUGACUGACUGUUCUCUCCUUCACGACAGACCGUCACUUGCCAGAACUACCCAGGAUCAAUCGCGUCUCUCUUCUAUUGCACCCACAAACUGUGAAAGAUAAUAGCGACCGUCGUCUCAAUCGGUGUGUAAGACAUUUAUCUCUCUCUCUUUCUCUCGCCGGUAUUGACUCUUACCUGAUAAAGAAUGACCGAGGUGAUGACUAUGUCCGCACCAGCCGGGGUCAACCUGAGCACUUACACCUACACCUCAGCCCCCAGGAUCGUCCAGAACUCCCGCAAGAACUCUAACCGCUCAAGUACUGGUUCUGUGCUGGCCGUCGUGCGUGACUGGAGAACAAAUACCAAGCAUCGUGACGCACGUGGCAUGACGAGGAAAAACAGCAGCACGUGAAUAAGUUAUGAAUUAUGGUAAACGUGAAGCGUGCGUGUUGUUUCCAAGGAGUCAGGCUAAGUGGCAGGAAUACACUGGGUACUGGUCGUCAUCAUGGUAACACGGAGGAACAUUGAAGAAUAAGCUGCUCCUGACGAGACUGUAUGUGGUGACUUGAAAACUUUGAAACAUUGGAAAUAUUUAUUCAUGGUUAGGAUAUCAAAGUAAAAGUAGCUGCCUUUAUAUAAGCAUAGCGUUUUUCAAAUAAGAAAAUGAUCUUAGGUAGUAAAAGAGAGAGAGAGAGAGAGAGAGAGAGAGAGAGAGAGAGAGAGAGAGAAUGAGUGAGUGAGUCGGCAUCAAAAUAAUCAACAAUAUAAAUCUAAAGCACAGAAAACGAAAAAUUAGUUAACAAGUACAUUCAAAUAUAAAAUGUAUACGACAAGCUGUACUUUGUCUAAACUAAGAGGAGUAGAAAGCUGAAAACAAUCACUAUACUAUCAAAAGAAUGCCGUGACUUACCCAUGUCAGUUUAUUUAUUCAUCACGCCAUAUUUACAUCUACUAGACAGUCUGGGGAGUAGAGAAGCUUAAAAUCAAACUAAGAGCCGUGCCCUAAACGCUUUGCUAUCUCAUCAGGACUAUUUUCAAACGUUACAACGAUGAUUAGCUUAGUUUUCAUGCAUAUUUCUCAUCGAUGACUGCCGAAUCUUUUUUAUAAUACGAGUAUAUCUUGAAUCCUAAAUACAUCAAUAAGAAUU
This is a long non-coding RNA of Portunus trituberculatus (swimming crab), 2196 nucleotides long. RefSeq lists it as uncharacterized. Lineage: Eukaryota; Metazoa; Arthropoda; Malacostraca; Decapoda; Portunidae. The transcript is spliced from 3 exons. The record is from RefSeq and is a predicted model, not a curated record.